Molecule: transfer RNA, 72 nt
Filed under: Apis andreniformis
Lineage: Eukaryota; Metazoa; Arthropoda; Insecta; Hymenoptera; Apidae
Description: tRNA-Trp
Source: RNAcentral
AAGAUUUUAAGUUAAUAAAAACUUUUAAUUUUCAAAAUUAAAAAUAAAAAUUUAUUUUUUUUUUAAAUCUUA